ACCUUAUGCCAUGCAAUAGUUAUGUUGCCACAGUUUCUGUCAAGUCUUUAAUUUUCGAAGUGGGUGGGAUUAUUGAGCGAACACUUUACGCAAGUACGGAAUAUUCACAUAUUGAUGUGAAAUUUAACUCUUUAUCCCAGAGUAGCUGCUCAAUGGUGGAAACCGCUGAUCUACGGCAUAUUUGCAAUAAGAGUGAUAUGAUUUUUUUUUUAAAUAAAAAGCACUCAUUUUUAAGGUAA
Bactrocera latifrons is the source of this 239-nucleotide long non-coding RNA. RefSeq lists it as uncharacterized. The record is from RefSeq and is a predicted model, not a curated record. The transcript has 2 exons. Lineage: Eukaryota; Metazoa; Arthropoda; Insecta; Diptera; Tephritidae.